GACGAACUGUGCAAACGUUAUUCGGAAUCACUGGGCUUAAAGGGUGCGUAGGCGGUCUUUUAAGUAGGGUGUGAAAGCCUCUGGCUCAACCAGAGAACUGCGCCCUAAACUAGAAGGCUUGAGUGAGGUAGGGGUGUGUGGAACUUCCAGUGGAGCGGUGAAAUGUGUUGAUAUUGGAAGGAACGCCGGUGGCGAAAGCGACACACUGGACCUUGUCUGACGCUGAGGCACGAAAGCCAGGGGAGCAAACGGG
RNAcentral lists this ribosomal RNA (253 nucleotides) under uncultured bacterium. Its description in RNAcentral is "partial 16S ribosomal RNA". It matches the Rfam family "Bacterial small subunit ribosomal RNA", at positions 524 to 776 of the family's 1533-position model. RNAcentral also lists the same sequence under 1 other name. The record is from RNAcentral.